AUGGCUCAGGAUGAACGCUAGCUACAGGCUUAACACAUGCAAGUCGAGGGGCAGCAUAUCGAAAGCUUGCUUUGAUGAUGGCGACCGGCGCACGGGUGAGUAACGCGUAUCCAACCUUCCCUAUACUAGAGGAUAGCCCGGCGAAAGUCGGAUUAAUACUCUAUGUUCUUCGUAGAAGACAUCUGAAAUGAAGCAAAGGUUUACCGGUAUAGGAUGGGGAUGCGUCUGAUUAGGUUGUUGGCGGGGUAACGGCCCACCAAGCCCACGAUCAGUAGGGGUUCUGAGAGGAAGGUCCCCCACAUUGGAACUGAGACACGGUCCAAACUCCUACGGGAGGCAGCAGUGAGGAAUAUUGGUCAAUGGACGAGAGUCUGAACCAGCCAAGUAGCGUGCAGGAUGACGGCCCUAUGGGUUGUAAACUGCUUUUAUACAGGGAUAAAGUGCACUACGUGUAGUGUUUUGUAGGUACUGUAUGAAUAAGGACCAGCUAAUUCCGUGCCAGCAGCUGC
Molecule: ribosomal RNA, 509 nt
Filed under: uncultured bacterium
Lineage: Bacteria
Description: bacterial SSU rRNA
Rfam family: Bacterial small subunit ribosomal RNA
Source: RNAcentral